This 61-nucleotide ribosomal RNA is filed under the name uncultured fungus. RNAcentral's name for it is "partial 28S ribosomal RNA". It matches the Rfam family "Eukaryotic large subunit ribosomal RNA", at positions 1 to 59 of the family's 3401-position model. Lineage: Eukaryota; Fungi. The record is from RNAcentral.
UUUGACCUCGGAUCAGGUAGGGAUACCCGCUGAACUUAAGCAUAUCAAUAAGCGGAGGAAA